UACGGGGGGAGCAAGCGUUGUUCGGAUUUACUGGGCGUAAAGGGCGCGUAGGCGGGAUGGCAAGUCAGUCGUGAAAUCUCUCGGCUCAACCGAGAAACGUCGGCUGAUACUGCCGUUCUUGAGGGAUGCAGAGGAGACUGGAAUUCCCGGUGUAGCGGUGAAAUGUGUAGAGAUCCGGCGGAACACCGGUGGCGAAGGCGGUCUCCUGGGCCGAGGGCCGACGCUGAGGCGCGAGAGCGUGGGGAGCGAACCGG
Molecule: ribosomal RNA, 254 nt
Filed under: uncultured bacterium
Lineage: Bacteria
Description: partial 16S ribosomal RNA
Rfam family: Bacterial small subunit ribosomal RNA
Source: RNAcentral